RNAcentral lists this ribosomal RNA (615 nucleotides) under Ips acuminatus. Its description in RNAcentral is "partial large subunit ribosomal RNA". It matches the Rfam family "Eukaryotic large subunit ribosomal RNA", at positions 600 to 835 of the family's 3401-position model. Lineage: Eukaryota; Metazoa; Arthropoda; Insecta; Coleoptera; Curculionidae. The record is from RNAcentral.
CACAGCGSUYAGMMGGUCGAGWGACKCGARWCKCCGGCGACYYCGCGYYUUGCGCACYKUCCRCUCGKCGAMCCGGCGACGAACGCGUGCACUUUUCUUCUGGUAGGACGUCGCGAUCCGUUGGGCGUCAGUCUACGACGUGCGAUGAAGCCCGUCGGUCGCGUUUCGGCGCGACCAACGAACGCGCACGCUCCGGCUGACUCGCUCGACGGUAUACGAAAGGUUAGAGGCCGCUCUUGCGAGCGUUCGACUCUCGGCAAGCGCGCCAGACGCGUCGGCGAUCGGACCUAGUGCCGAUUCCGACCUCUGGUGACUGUUGGCCGUUGAUGUUCUCGAACAGACCUCUCACGACCGAUCUGCGACGCUAUAGCUUUGGGUACUUUCAGGACCCGUCUUGAAACACGGACCAAGGAGUCUAGCAUGUGCGCGAGUCAUUGGGAAUCACUAAACCUAAAGGCGCAAUGAAAGUGAAGGUCUUCCUUGCGAAGACCGAGGGAAGACGGGCGGUUCGCCGUUAAAAGCGGCCGUUCAGCAUUCCCGGGGCGUCUCGUUCUCAUCGCGAGAAGAGGCGCACCAAGAGCGUACACGCUGGGACCCGAAAGAUGGUGAACUAUG